CAGGGCUGAUUUCCUUAAGAAUGGAUAGGUUUGAUCUUCUUGCAGUCCAUGGAACUCUCAAGAGUCUCCUCCAGCACCAUAAUUCAAAAGCAUCAAUUCUUCGGCGAUCAGCCUUCUUUAUGGUCCAGCUCUCACUUCCAUACAUCACUACUGGGAAAACCAUAGCUUUUACUAUACGGACCUUUGUUGGCAAGGUGAUGUCUCUGCUUUUUAAGAUGCUGUCUAGGUUUGUCAUUUCUUUUCUCACAAGAAGCAGGCAUCUUUUAAUUUCGUGGCUGCAGUCACCAUCUGCAGUGAUCAUGGAGCCCAAGAAAGUAAAAUCUCUCACUGCCUCCAUUUCUUCCCCUUCUAUUUGCCAGGAGGGGAUGGGACCAGUGGCCACGGAGACUCUCAGCCGCUCUGUAUUAAUCAUGAAUAAUGCCAGGUUCAGGGUGGCGCUGUGGGUUAAACCACAGAGCCUAGGACUUGCUGAUCAGAAGGUCAGCGGUUCGAAUCCCCGCGAUGGGGUGAGCUCCCGUUGCUCGGUCCCUGCUCCUGCCAACCUAGCAGUUCGAAAGCACAUCAAAGUGCAAGUAGAUAAAUAGGUACCGCUCCGGCGGGAAGGUAAAUGGUGUUUCUGUGCGCUGCUCUGGUUCGCCAGAAGCGGCUUAGUCAUGCUGGCCACAUGACCCGGAAGCUGUACACCGGCUCCCUCGGCCAAUAAAGCGAGAUGAGCGCCGCAACCCCAGAGUCGGUCACGACUGGACGUAAUGGUCAGGGGUCCCUUUCCCUUUAAUGCCAGGUUCACUUGAUUACAUCAAGGCAGGCUAUAAAAGCCAUAAGUGGGAGGGGCCCAGUGAGCUUCUGCCCAGAUCAAAGGACCUGAUGCUGGGAGACCGACGGUCAGCGUCUUUCUCCUGCUGCUCUACCUGGGGCUCCAGGCAGCUGAAGGGGAGAUUGGGUAGCCCCUGUCGGGUAUGUUUUAUGUUAUGCUUUGUAUGCCUGCUGUUUAUUUGUUAAUAAAACUGUUUCGGUUCCCCUUCCACCUCCUCAUUCCUUUUGUUCUGAGAUCCUUGGAAAGAACUGCUGUAUUUAGCAGCACAUGCAGAAGUCGUGGAGAUCCCAUGAAGCUGGACGUUGGAAGACUCAGGACAUAUAUGAAUCGGCACAUAGUUCAUGCAGCACAUAGUUACUCUCACUCCCACAGGAGGCAGGGAUGGCUUUGAAAGAGGACCGGACAAAUUCAGGCAGGAUGAGGCUAUCAGUAGUGACUGCCCAGGAUGGCUAGGUUCUUCGCCAAGUGUCAAAUUAGCUCAUUUGCCAGCAACCAAAAUUGCCUAGAAUAGAAUUUACCACUUAGAAAGCUUUGCAAAGUAAAUGUUUCAGUCUGCAGUUCAAAUCUUUAAAAUGUGGCUGCAUGAGACAUUUUAAUUAUCUUUACUGUUAGCACACAUUUAGAAACAUGAUCCACAGGAACACAAACAUUAAAAUAUCUAACUUCGGCUUCCUUGUCUUUCUUUCCAUGUCGUGUAGAGACGUGAGGGCGGGGGCGGGGGGAUUAUUUAUUUUGGUUUGCAUUUUAAUGAGAGGAUCCCAAAUUUGCAUGUCCCAAAUCAAUGCAUGAAUCAAAACGCUGCUCUCCUUUGAUAUCUGCACUUCUCCAAAUCUAACAAUGCAGUUCUUGAAGCGAAGAUGUAAAGAAUAUGAACACUCGUGGAAAAAUACAGAAAUAAAUUUUAUAAAGAGGAUGCUAUCUGCAAUCGUGCCUAUACUACACUAAACUCUUUAUAAAAUACAUCUAUUACGAGAAACAAGUGUAAAAAUACACUUGAAUUUUCAGGCAGACAGAAGAAGAAUUCAAGACGCAUUGUGCUGGUCCCGGGGGUUAAUCAAGAGGCAAGGUCCAAGUCCAGUCCGUGGUCGAGGGUGCAGUAUGGAGGCAGUCUGUCAAAGCUGAAGCUGGGUCCAAGGCAGGGAGUCGGUUGAGGUCAAGAGCAGGACAGGGUGCAGGCAGGAACUGGAUACCAACAAUGUUGCUCCCACAACUUGGGACUGGGGCUGACUGGCUUUUAUCUGCCCCGAGGCAUAGGGCGGCCCUGGUCCACAGGUGACUCGCCUCUCCUGGUCUGGAGGCCAGCACUCCUCCUGCAGGAACUUAGUUCCCUCCGCCUCUCUGCCCUGAGCCUCUGCAGCUCAGGAGAGGCUGGAGGGUUACCGGACCCAGAGGCAACCUCAGCUUCCCCUGACGGGGCUGAGAGUGGAGCACCUGCAGGCAAUGGGUCCUCCAUCACCUCAGGAGCCAGAGCAGACUCAGCUGGUGCCUGCACCUGAGGAUCCAGAACAGGUGAGGACCUUUCAGGCUCAAGCCCCAGCCCCGGUUCAGCUGGUUCUGGAGGCGGGGAAUCCUGGGCAGGCUGGGAUCCCUCAGGUUCAGCCUCCGAGUCCGAAUCCCCGGCCAUCACACGCAUAAAAGAAGCACAUUAAGCUGCACACUUAAACUGUGGAACUGGCUCCCAGGAAGAAGGCUACCAAUGACAACUUGUCACGAUGGCUAUAUUUUGCUUCUGUAUGUUUUGUUUCCCCACAAGAUGGGAAAGUGCUCAUGUGCUUGGUGGCUGCUGUGAGCACAAGAGACUAUUUGUUAAGUUUUCUGUUUUACAAUUAAAACACUCAUCUUACAUCCUUAAGAUAUCAAUGACUUCCCUUCUUUUUCCAUGGUUCAUUUUACAUAUCAGAAGUCCCUGCAUCUUUUACAAAAACUAUACCAUUCAGUUGAAAAGAACCAGAAAUGCUCACUAGCUGCUCUCCAGUCCUUAGGGGAUUCCGUGAGUCCACCAGGUGAAAGGAUUCCCUGCGGUCAGAGGGUUUUAAGAAAACAGGCAAGACCAAGGCAAAACCUAAAGCAAAGUGGCUAAGAAGCCUGACCUUUAUUUGUAAGCAAAACUGCUAUAGCAGGACCAGCAAUAGAAGAAUGGCAGAUGAAGAUGUUGGACUUUUUGGAGCUGGCUGACCUGAAUGGAAGAAUCCGCGACCAGAAGGAAGAGGAAUAUCAAGAAAACUGGAAGAAAUUCAAAGAAUAUUUAACCAAAUAUUGUAACAUAAGAUAAUUAGAAAUCACUUGGAAGUAUCAAAUAGGCUUAGGAUUAGAUUAAGAACGACUUGUAAAGAAUUACAGGGAACCAGGCAGAGGGCCUUCUCGGUAGUGGCGCCCUCCCUGUGGAACACCCUCUCACCUUUCAUCAUCACUACAUCGUUUCUACAUCAUCAGAAGGGGAGGUAAAUGGGCAGAGCCUGGGUGUCAGGUAGCUAUCCUUCCUGCCUUUUACCCAUCACCUGACACCCGAUAAAAACAAGACAAUAAAUCUAUUUACACUUCCUGACCCAACCGGUUAAGUUGCUCACUAUCCUUUUUGUUCUCCGGAGUCAGAAUCCAUUCUUGGGCUGCUGUAGCUCUUUGUGAUCUUGAUGGCUACCUGUCUGGCACUUGGGUUAGGUGUGAUAAGAAUUUUAAGGUCUUUGAUAUGUAAUAAAUGUUCAUAAAUGUACCAAGCAAACACGUACAUAAAUAUAUAAACCACAUGUCUGAAAACCCCACAGAAAAAAAGUCCUGAACAAAUUGACGUCAAUUAUUUCUCUGCAAGGUCAAAGUGGGAAACCUCCCCAUUGUCUUUUUCUGGUCUCUUGUCUCAUCAUUUGGGGUAAAGGGGUAGGCACCACAGACAGGGUUUAGCGCGUGUGCCUGCAAUAAUUGCUGGCUAAUCUGUCUUCUCUCCCCCCCCCAACAGGAACAGCUUUGCGAAAAGAAUGCAACAGCUACUUGACUCAGGACAUCUAUGGAUUUCCGCUGGAAUGUUUGUGGCCCCUUGCAGUCUCAUCUCCUGAUGCACAUUUACUAGUAGUCUCAGUGUCUGCAUCUAAUGAAUAAACUAUUGUCAGUUACCCUGCCUGGUGUCAUUUCUUUCACUGAAUGUGUGAGGUAUAUCAGUGUAGUGUAUCAGAAGGCUUAUGGAGUCACCUUUAUGCAAUUGUGGUCCCCGCCCCCCCAGGAAUAAAGUAGAGUUUAUGAUGUACAGGACUCCUUCAUAGUAACAUCUCAUAUAAACGUACAAGGUUGCCCCCCCCUUCAUUGAGUUUGUUGUUGUUGUUGUUUAGUCGUUUAGUCGUGUCCGACUCUUCGUGACCCCAUGGACCAGAGCACACUAGGCACUCCUGUCUUCCACUGCCCCCCACAGUUUGGACAGACUCAUGUUUGUAGCUUCGAGAACACUGUCCAACCAUCUCGUCCUCUGUCGUCCCCUUCACCUUGUGCCCUCCAUCAGAGUCUUUUCCAGGGAGUCUUCUCUUCUCAUGAGGUGGUCAAAGUAUUGGAGCCUCAGCUUCAGGAUCUGUCCUUCCAGUGAGCACUCAAGACUGAUUUCCUUCAGAAUGGAUAGGUUUGAUCUUCUUGCAGUCCAUGGGACUCUCAAGAGUCUCCUCCAGCACCAGAAUUCAAAAGCAUCAAUUCUUCGACAGUCAGCCUUCUUUAUGGUCCAGCUCUCACUUCCAUACAUCACUGCUGGGAAAACCAUAACUUUAACUAUACAGACCUUUGUCAGCAACGUGAUGUCUCUACUUUUUAAGAUGCUGUCUAGGUUUGUCAUUGCUUUUCUCCCAAGAAGCAGGCGUC
This 4645-nucleotide long non-coding RNA is filed under the name Podarcis lilfordi (Lilford's wall lizard). Lineage: Eukaryota; Metazoa; Chordata; Lepidosauria; Squamata; Lacertidae. The record is from RNAcentral.